CCAACGGCUCUUUUAAGAGCCACCCACCUUUUCCAAAAGGAGCUG
Pelodiscus sinensis (Chinese soft-shelled turtle) is the source of this 45-nucleotide regulatory RNA element. It matches the Rfam family "Histone 3' UTR stem-loop". Rfam says of the family: The mRNAs of metazoan histone genes lack a poly-A tail. 3' end processing occurs at a site between a highly conserved stem-loop (modelled by this family) and a purine rich region around 20 nts downstream (the histone downstream element, or HDE). The record is from Rfam. Lineage: Eukaryota; Metazoa; Chordata; Testudines; Trionychidae.